CCUACGGGUGGCAGCAGUGGGGAAUAUUGCACAAUGGGGGGAACCCUGAUGCAGCGACGCCGCGUGGGUGAAGGAGUAUUUCGGUAUGUAAAGCCCUAUCAGCAGGGAAGAACAAUGACGGUUCCUGACUAAGAAGCACCCGCUUAAUACGUUCCAGCAGCCGCGGUAAUACGGAGGGUGCAAGCGUUAUCCGGAUUUACUGGGUGUAAAGGGGGCGCAGGCGGGGCGUUAAGCCUGGUGUGAAAGUCCGCGGCCCAACCGCGGGACUGCAUUGGGAACUGGCGCGCUGGAGUGCCGGAGGGGUAAGCGGAAUUCCUGGUGUAGCGGUGAAAUGCGUAGAUAUUAGGAGGAACACCAGUGGCGAAGGUGGCCUACUGGACGGUGACUGACGCUGAGGCUCGAAAGCGUGGGGAGCAAACAGGAUUAGAUACCCCUGUAGUC
RNAcentral lists this ribosomal RNA (441 nucleotides) under uncultured bacterium. RNAcentral describes it as "partial 16S ribosomal RNA". It matches the Rfam family "Bacterial small subunit ribosomal RNA", at positions 338 to 795 of the family's 1533-position model. The record is from RNAcentral.